This is a long non-coding RNA of Homo sapiens (human), 2238 nucleotides long. RefSeq lists it as uncharacterized. The transcript is spliced from 2 exons. Lineage: Eukaryota; Metazoa; Chordata; Mammalia; Primates; Hominidae. The record is from RefSeq and is a predicted model, not a curated record.
AGAACCAAAGGCAUCAAUAAGCAUGCAGGAAGCCAUCCACUCCUGGACCAUGGUGUUUUGGAAAUUCUGAUUUAGUCCUCUGGCAUAGUCUGGCAGGUGGUAAUGGCAGCUUACACCGGGACUCUUCUCCAUUCGUCAGAAGGUGGAAACCUUUUCACUGUUUCUUGAAUCUGGGCUUGGCCAUGUGACUUGCUUUGGGCAAAGGGACAUAUCAAAAGUGACAUAAGCAGUGGCUAAAAACCAAAAUGAGACUUCUCUCUCUGAUCUUGAGAACGUUGUAAUCACUGAAUGAGUCCAAAUAAACCUGCUGGAUGAAGAAACAGUUGGCAAAGUCAUUGCCACUAUCCAACUUACAGCAAGCCUACUGCCCGAUACAUGAAUGAGGCUAUCUGAAAACCCAGCACCAAUGAAUCUGGCUCAGAGAAGAACCAAGAACCAGCCAGGUGAACCGCUGAAGCAUAAAAAUAAAUAUUUACUGUCUAAAGCAAAUUGUUGUUUAACACAACAGAAGUUAACUGAUAUAAAAACUAGUACCCGGUGUGGGGUGUUGCUAUAACAAAACCUAAAACAUCUAAUAAAAUACUAAAAUACAUAGUAUUGGCUUUGGAUGGAGGCUGAAAAAACAGUGAAGAAACUGUUAGUGAAGGUUGAGACAGUGGCAGACAAAGUUGUGCUAUAGUGGAAUAUUUGGCAAAGCUUUCAUCUGCAGAAACUUGGAAGAUAGAAAAUGUACCUAAUGAACUUGUGCCUCUAAAAAGAUUUGAUGAUAGAUGCUGAGUGUGUCAACUGGCCCCUGUUAGCUGCAUAUAAUAAUAUGGAAACAGACAGAAUAAGUUUAAAAAUGAACAGUUUUGUUUACAAGCAGAUUUUAGAAGAAAUAAAAAGAAGCCAGGAAUUGCUGGGUCAAAAAAUAAAUUGUCUCCCACGUUGGUUAAAAUUCACAAAGUAGGAAAUGGCCUAGUAUAAAGACAGACAAAGAUGUGGCUGGUUAUAAGAUUCAUUUUUAAAAAACCUCUAAAAGUUCUAAGGUGGACAGAAGAGUCCUCAGCAAGAUAAAUUGUCUCCUAAUAAUUCUAAGGGCAUUUUUUUUUUCAUAGCAGCCUACCACAUCUAAAGUGGAGGAAGGCCUGUUUUGAAAUGAUUUAGAUGUGAAUUUUGGAAGUGGAGAAUUUUAGAAAUUACAUACAAUAGAUGUAAAUCAGAUCCAUAGGCAAUCCAUGAGUUUUUAAAGACCAUUAUACUAACAAAUCACUGCCAGCUUGGACUAAAAUCAAUUACAAAAAGAAAGUUUUCUAGGCUUCCAACAUUUUGGGGGCAGAAAUCAGACUGAGAAUCAUGGCCGUUUCUAGUUCGAAGGAUGAAAAUCCUAGAGGUGGAGGCAAGAGAUCCAGAGAAAAACAGACAGACAAAUCACUCUCAAGGAGCCGAAAUAGAACUCAAUCAAGGAGCUUACACAGACUUAGAGCAGGGGAUCCUUUUAACAUGUACCUGGAUGGAUUUCAGAAUUUGUUAGACCAAUGGCUGCUCUAUGCCUCCCAUUCCUCAUUUUUCUGAUCAGAAGUAUCUAUUACAAUUACUCUGCUCCCAUCUCACCCUUGUAUAUUAGGUUGGUUGACCACUGGUAACUUACAUUUUUAGUUUAUAAGUCUCUGGAUGAAGAGCAGCUGCAUCCAAUGGGUCAUAUUUAUACCUAUAUUAGAAACAAAUUAUAAGAACCUGGACUUUGAACCAGAUGACAUAAUUGAAUGAGACUACUGAAAUUCUGGAAGUAAGCAUAUUUUUCAUUUAGGAGAAUAUAAUUUGUGGCUGAAAACAGUCUGCAGUAGAUUUUAAAAAUUGCUACAAAUGUUCCAUCUCUUUAUACAUAUCAUUUUACAACCUGAUUUUGUAGUUCCUUCCAUCAACGGUUGGUCUAUUUCGUGAAUCUACCUGUUCUUUCUAGGCUUGGUCAUGUGAAUUACUUUGGUCAAUGAGACAUGAACAAAUAUGAUACAAGCAGAGGCUUUAAAAGACUUGCAUAUUGGAGCUUGCCCUCAUUUUCUGCACUUGGAAUUCUGCAAUUGCCAUCAUGUGAACAAGCCCUGGCUAGCCUCCUGGAUGAUUAUAGCCAAAUCACCUCCAUCACUCAAGGUGACACUGAGUCAACUGCCUGAAGCCAUCCUAGACCAUCCAGCUUCAGCUGAAACAGCCCAGAAGAAGAAUCAUAUGAAAUAAUAAAUUAUUGUUGUUUGAAAACUA